CAGCAGUAGGGAAUCUUGGACAAUGGGUGAAAGCCUGAUCCAGCCAUGCCGUCGUGAGUGAUGAAGGCCUUAGGGUUGUAAAGCUCUUUCGCCAGGGAAGAUAAUGACGGUACCUGGAUAAGAAGCCCCGGCUAACUUUGUGCCAGCAGCCGCGGUAAUACGAAGGGGGCUAGCGUUGUUCGGAAUUACUGGGCGUAAAGCGCACGUAGGCGGCAUUCCAAGUUGGAGGUGAAAUCCCCGGGCUUAACCUGGGAUCUGCCUCCAAAACUGGGAAGCUCGAGUCCGAGAGAGGUGAGUGGAAUUUCCAGUGUAGAGGUGAAAUUCGUAGAUAUUGGAAAGAACACCAGUGGCGAAGGCGGCUCACUGGCUCGGUACUGACGCUGAGGAGCGACAGCGUGGGGAGCAAACAGGAUUAGAUACCCUGGUAGUCCACGCCGUAAACUAUGGGUGCUAGUUGUCGGGCAGCUUGCUGUU
RNAcentral lists this ribosomal RNA (474 nucleotides) under uncultured bacterium. RNAcentral describes it as "bacterial SSU rRNA". It matches the Rfam family "Bacterial small subunit ribosomal RNA", at positions 349 to 840 of the family's 1533-position model. The record is from RNAcentral.